AAUUCGAUUGUUUGAUCAUGGCUCAGGACGAACGCUGGCGGCGUGCUUAACACAUGCAAGUGGAGCGACGAACCAGGCUUCGGCCUGGGGCAAAGCCGCGAACGGGUGAGUAACACGUGGGUAACCUGCCCUGAUGAUCGGGACAACCCGGGGAAACCCGGGCUAAUACCGAAUGUGCCCGCGAGCCACAAGGCUCGCGCGGAAAGGAAGCUUUGGCCUCCGCAUCGGGAUGGGCCCGCGGCCCAUUAGCUUGUUGGUGGGGUAAUGGCCUACCAAGGCAGCAAUGGGUAGCUGGUCUGAGAGGACGAUCAGCCACACUGGGACUGAGACACGGCCCAGACUCCUACGGGAGGCAGCAGUGGGGAAUCUUGCGCAAUGCGCGAAAGCGUGACGCAGCAACGCCGCGUGGGGGAAGACGGCCUUCGGGUUGUAAACCCCUUUCAGUUGGGACGAAGCUUCGUCGGUGAAUAGCCGGCUGGAGUGACGGUACCUUCAGAAGAAGCCCCGGCUAACUACGUGCCAGCAGCCGCGGUAAUACGUAGGGGGCAAGCGUUGUCCGGAAUCAUUGGGCGUAAAGAGCGUGUAGGCGGCCCGAUAAGUCCGCCGUGAAAGUCCAGGGCUCAACCCUGGAAUGCCGGUGGAUACUGUCGGGCUAGAGUCCGGAAGGGGCGAGUGGAAUUCCUGGUGUAGCGGUGAAAUG
This 700-nucleotide ribosomal RNA is filed under the name uncultured bacterium. Its description in RNAcentral is "bacterial SSU rRNA". It matches the Rfam family "Bacterial small subunit ribosomal RNA", at positions 1 to 688 of the family's 1533-position model. The record is from RNAcentral.